AAGACUUACCAGGGUUUGACAUGCAAGUGGUAGGAACCGAAAGGCGACGACCCUUCGGGAGGCUUGCACAGGUGCUGCAUGGCUGUCGUCAGCUCGUGUCGUGAGAUGUUCGUUAAGUCCGCUAACGAGCGCAACCCUCGCUGUGUGUUACAAGUGUCACACGGAACUGCCGGUCAUAACCGGGAGGAAGGUGGGGAUGACGUCAAGUCAGCAUGGCCUUUAUAUCCUGGGCUACACACACGCUACAAUGGGAAGGGACAAUAGGUUGCGAAGCCGCGAGGCGGAGCCAAUCCAGCAAAACUUCCCUCAGUUCAGAUUGCAGGCUGCAACUCGCCUGCAUGAAGUUGGAGUUGCUAGUAAACGCAGGUCAGCCAUACUGCGUUGAAUACGUUCCCGGGGCUU
This 402-nucleotide ribosomal RNA is filed under the name uncultured Anaerolineaceae bacterium. RNAcentral's name for it is "bacterial SSU rRNA". It matches the Rfam family "Bacterial small subunit ribosomal RNA", at positions 966 to 1382 of the family's 1533-position model. Lineage: Bacteria; Bacillati; Chloroflexota; Anaerolineae; Anaerolineales; Anaerolineaceae. The record is from RNAcentral.